Molecule: transfer RNA, 69 nt
Filed under: Marmota monax (woodchuck)
Lineage: Eukaryota; Metazoa; Chordata; Mammalia; Rodentia; Sciuridae
Description: tRNA.Ala
Rfam family: tRNA
About the family: Transfer RNA (tRNA) molecules are approximately 80 nucleotides in length. Their secondary structure includes four short double-helical elements and three loops (D, anti-codon, and T loops).
Source: RNAcentral
GGGAUAUAGCUCAGUUGGUAGAGUGCUUGCCUAGCAUGUACAAGGCCCUGGGUUCAAUCCCCAGUCCCA